GAAAGGAUGAGAAGCUUCGACUAAGGUUCGAUUCGAGCGCAGCGAGAAAGCGUUGCCGCAGGCAACGACCCGAAGGGCGAAGCGCGCAGCGCUGAGUCAUCCUUCCCCCACCACCA
RNAcentral lists this small RNA (116 nucleotides) under Salmonella enterica subsp. enterica serovar Typhimurium. RNAcentral's name for it is "partial RtT sRNA". It matches the Rfam family "RtT RNA", at positions 16 to 130 of the family's 130-position model. From Rfam's summary of the family: This family represents a bacterial cis-regulatory element known as RtT RNA. The exact function of RtT is unknown although it is thought that it may be involved in changing the cellular response in relation to amino acid starvation. The record is from RNAcentral. Lineage: Bacteria; Pseudomonadati; Pseudomonadota; Gammaproteobacteria; Enterobacterales; Enterobacteriaceae.